RNAcentral lists this small RNA (5618 nucleotides) under Caenorhabditis elegans. Its description in RNAcentral is "Unclassified non-coding RNA C16C8.28". Lineage: Eukaryota; Metazoa; Nematoda; Chromadorea; Rhabditida; Rhabditidae. The record is from RNAcentral.
GGAAAACUUCUCGAAGACCACCACUCUCUCGCCUACUACAACAUUCAAGAAGGCGCAUUAAUUUGGCUAUACUCUCGUUGAAUCAUAAUUAUUCUAAUUUUCAUUCACUUUUUUCAAGAUAUUGUUAUUUUGCGAAUAAAUAAUUGUUAACUAAAAUUGUUCGCUUUUCACAGAUUUUUUUUAAAAAUGAUUCUGCAAUCAUUUGGAUAUUUGAUUUACUCAAAAAUAAAAGCAACUUUCUUGGUUUUCGGUUCUUGUUCAGUUUUUAGAGAGUUUUUUCUCGAAUUUACCUGGGAAAUUAGAAAAGUUAACUAGGAACUUCUUUGCAUUUCAAAAAUUAUCAAAAAGCUUUUUUUUUUCAGAUUUAAAAAUGUCGGAGACAAGCAGUUUGAUGUCUCAAUUCCAAAAACUUCGCGUUGAAACUUCCAAGAUAUACAAUGAAUUCACAGAGGUGAGAAUAAUAAUAAUAAUUUAUUACGCUCGCUGGGAGACGUGAAGGAAUACAGAAUACAAAAGUUAUCAUUGUUCGCUUGAACUAGAAUUGGUGCAGUCGGGCAGUUGUUUCCAUUCCAUUAGAAUGUUGUCCUUGUCCUUGCUUGUCCUUGCGCAGACUCCCCCAUAGUGGGCGAACGAUUCCCGAGUGAAAAAAAAGAUUUUGAAAAAACACGAUUGUCAAAAAACCCAGAAAAAUCAAAACAGGGUGAUCGAAAAUUUGAUAUUGGAUUUGGAGAUGGUCAAAAAUGAGACUAGUGAUAUGAAAAAGCAACAAGAGACUCAGAUUUUGAAGGAACAAGACGAAUUUCAAGAUGAGAUUAGGCAAGAAUUUCUGAAAAUCCAGGAAAAUGAAAACAAAUUGAUCGAAAAGUUGAUGUCGGAAUUGAAAACUCUCAAAACAGAGCUGAAUGAGACUAAAAAUCAAAUAAGUGACCUGCAUAAUGCAACAAAGCAACAGGAGUCUCAGGCACAAUCGAUGAAUGAUCUUCUAACCAAGAAUUCGAAUAAUAAUCUGAAAAUGAUGCUGAAAAUUCAGGAAGGUCAAGAUCGGAUUAUGAUGAAGAUUCAAGAAGGAGCUGCUGUGAAAGACGUCCCAAUUGAAUCUGGAGAAUUGGCAAAGAAUGACUCAAUGUUUAAGAUUUUUGUUUCCUGGUCCAUUCCGGGUGGCAUAUUCGUGUCUGAAAACCGCAGGAAACUACCAGUGUACGAAUCGAACACAAUUCGACAAAUCAAACUGCGCAUCAAUUCACUUGUAGGAAUAGACAUCGGCUCGUUCAGCUCGUACUGUGAUGGUCGGUUGUUUUCGAAAUUGCUUUUUAAAAUAAAAUUUGCAUCUCAGAUAAAAUUCUCGAAGACGACCACACUCUCGCUCACUACAACAUUUCGUACAACAAUUCGCGUAUUCUCAUAAUUCUCCAUUUUUGCUCAUUUUCAACUUGAAUUUCACCGUUAAUGACAAUUAAUGAAUCUUUUUUUGUUUCAGAAUCCUCAAGUUCAUGGAAUUCUCCAGCUCAUAAUUUUUUAUCGAUUUUUUUAAAUUAUUGCCGAUACUAAAGUUCCCGGCAGUUUGCGAAUAAAUAAUUGUGAAAAUCCAAGAAAAUCAAAACAAAUUGUUCGAAAAUUUGAUGUCGGAAUUGAAAACUGUCAAAACAGAGCUGAUUGAGACGAAAAAUCAAAUAAAUGGUCUUCCUACCAAGAUUUCGGAUAACAAUCUGGAAAUGAUACUGAAAAUUCAGAAAAGUCAAGAUCAGAUGAAGAUUCAGGAAGGAGAAUUUGCGAAGAAGAUCGAAGAAUCAGUUGCACCUGUGAAAACACCGCUGGAAGCCCCAAUUGAAGAUAAAAAAUUGGAUAAUAAAAAACCAUUUUUCAAGAUUACUGUACAUUUGCAUGGAGGUCCUAAUGCAUCCGUAUAUGGAAGAAAGUACAAUCAUCUCGUGUUCGAUGCGCAUACGAUUCGUGAUCUUAAAGUGCGGAUCAAGGCACUUAUUAUGCAGUCCAGUCCAAUAAAACUGAGAACCGAAUUGUACAGAUUGUUCUUUGUUUGUUAGUUUAAAUCCCCCUUUCUUCAUAAUUUUUUAAUUAUACUUUCAGAUACACUUCUCGAAGACCACCAAACUAUCGCUUAUUACAAAUUCAAGAAGGCUCAACACUUGACCUGAUUCCGCUAUAAUUUUUUGAAUUUUAUCGAUUUUUUCUUGUGAAUAAUUUAUAGCUCCCUCACUUUAUUUGCCGAUUGAAAAAAUUAAAACAUAUUUUUCGAUUUUCACAUAUUUAAUUAUUUAAAAUUAUUUUUGCAAUCAUUUGGAUAUUUCCUUGAUCAAAAUUCAAAACUGCAAAAAAACUUUUUUAAAAAAAUUUUUGCGCGUAAUUUUAAGUGCAAAGUCUGCAAACACGUUGCGUACUCCGCCACCUACCGUAGUUUCCAAUGAAAAUUUGCCUGAACAUCUUUUCCGGUUUUCUUGGUUCUUGUUCAGUUUUUUUUUUUGAAAAGUUCCAAUGAUUUUUCGAGUUUCUUUUCCGUAUUUUCCCUUAAAAAUAUCGAAAUUAACUAAAAAAUGUGGUUUUAUUUGCAAAAAUUGUCUAGAAUCAGCUUUGUUAAGCGGUUUAACACGAAAACCUUUCAAAAUGUUUUUUUUUUCAGAUUUCAAAAUGUCGGGGCCAAGCGAUUUGAUGUCUGAAUUUCGAAAACUUCGCGUUGAAGCUUCCAAGAUUCAGAAUGAGUUCAAAGAGGUUUAGUUUUCGAACUCACAAAUAAUUAAAAAUCAGUUUUCUUCCAGAUACCCAGCUCUGCGGAUCAUAAGCUGAUCAAAGAGACUCUGGAAAUGAGCCAAAAAAUUUUGAAAAAACAAGACCAAUUUCAAGAUGAGAUGAAGCAAGAAUUUUUCAAACAUAACUACAAAAUCAAGCAAGAAUUUCAAAAAAUCCAGGAAAAGCAGAACAAAUUGAUCGAAAAUUUGAUGUCGGAAUUGAAGACUGUCAAAGCCGAGCUGAAUGUGACGAAAAAUCAAAUAAAUGGUCUUCUUGCCAAGAAUUCGGAUGAAAAUUUGGAACUGAUUCUAGAAUCGAUAUGGAUAAUUCAUAAACGUCAGGAUCAGAUGAUGAUGAUGAAUCAGCAAGGAGAAACUGUACAUUUUUAAUUUGGCUGCUAAGCUCAUUUAUCUUCGUUUUUUCUCGUUUUUUCUCAUUUUUAUCGAUAAAAAUAUAUUUUUUGUUGCAGAAUAUCACAAAACCGCAACGGAAACGCGUCCAACAGCACAAAACGGUGCCGAAUUCAACAAAAAAGUAGGUUUUUUCCCAUUUUCUCAAAAAAAUCCCUAUUUUAUGUAAUUUGCAAAAAAACACAUUUUUUGCGCGUAAUUUGAAGCGCAAAGUCCGCAAACACGUUGCGUACUCCGCCACCUACCGUAGUUCCCUUGAAAAUUUGUUUUUGGUUCUUGUUCAGUUUUUUGAAAAUUUUCCAAUGCUUUUUCAAGUGUCUUUCCAGAAUUUUUAUUUAAAAAUAUAGAAAUUAACUAAAAAUGCGGUUUUAUUUUCAAAAAUUACACCGAAUGAGCUCUUAAACCUCAAACACGAAAACUUUAUUAAAAUGGCUUUUUUUCAGAUUUAAAAAUGUCGGACCCAAGAGAUUUGAUGUCUGAAUUUCAAAAACUACGCGUUGAAACUUCCAAAAUACAAAAUGAAUUCAAAGAGGUGAGAAUAUCAGAAUUAAAACUUUAAAAAAUCAAAUUGUUUCCAGAAACCAGGCUACGUGGAAGAUAAACUGCACAAGAACACUCAGGAAAUUUGCCAACAGAUUUUAAAGAAACAAGGCAAAUCUCAAAAAUCCCAGGAAAAUCAAAACGCGUUUAUCGAAAAUUUGAUGUCGGAAUUGAAGACUGCCAAAUCAAAGCUAAAUGAGACCGAAAAUCAAAUAAGUGACCUGCAUGAAGCAACGAAGCAACAGGAGUCUCAGGCAAAUUUGUGGAAUGAUCUUGUUGCCAAGAUUUCGGAUAAAAAUCUGGAAAUGAUGCUGAAAAUUCAAAAAAGUCAGGAUCUGAUGAUUAUGAAGAUGCAGGAAGGAUCAGCUGUGCAAGACGUCCCAAUUGAAACUGAAAAAUCGGCAAAGAAUGGCCCAUUUUUUGAGAUUUUGGUCAUCUGGACCGACUCGCGUGGCCCAGUAGUUCCUGGGAACCAUGGGAAGCUUCGGGUGUGCGGAUCGGAUACAAUUCGACAGAUAAAACCGCGCAUCAAUUCACUUGCAGGAAUAGAUACCAUCUCGUUCAGAACGUUCUGUGAUGGUCGGUUUUUCUCGAAGUAGCUUUUUAAAAUAAAAUUUACAUUUCAGAUAAAUUUCUCGAAGACGACCACACUCUCGCCCACUACAACAUUCGAGAAGGCUCAACAAUUUGCGUAUUCUUUCAUUAAAUCAUAAUGUUUUAUCGACUUUUGUUCAAGAUGUUGUCUAAAGUUCCCCAUUUCUUAAAAUAAAUACGAACAACGUAUCAUCGUUUUUUAAAAUUUAUUUUUAAUAGUUAUUUUCAGUCAUUCAAAUAUUUUAUUCGAUCAAAAACUCCCUAUUUUAAUUUGCAACAAAAAAAAACAAUUUUUUAUGCGCGUAUUUUCAGGUGCAGAGUCUGCGAACACGUUGCGGACUCUGCCACCUACCGUAGUCCCCUUGAAAAUUUGUCCGAACAUUUUUCCCAGUGUUGUUUGUUUUUGAUAAGUUUUUUGAGAAUUUCCAAUUAUUUUUCGGGUGUCUUUUCCAAAUUUUUAUGUAAAAAUAACGAAAUUAAUUAAAAAAGUGUGGUUUUAUUUGCAAAAAUUACAACGAUGCCUUAAUAAUUUUUUUUCAGAUUUCAAAAUGUCGGAGCCAAGCAGUUUGAUGACUGAAUUUCAAAAACUUCGCGUUGAAACUUCCAAGAUACAAAAUGAGUUCAGAGAGGUGAGAUUUUCAUAUUUAAAGUUGAAAAAAAUCAAAUUGUUUCCAGAAACCAGGCUACGUGGAAGAUAAACUGCACAAGAACACCCUGGAAAUGUGCCAGAAAAUUUUAAAGAAACAACACGGAUUUCAAAAAACCCAGGAAAAUCAAAACAAAUUCAUUGAACAUUUGAUAUUGGAUUUGGAGUCUGUCAAAAAAGAAACUAGUGAUAUGAAAAAGCAACAAGAGACUCAGAUUUUGAAGAGACAAGACGAAUAUCACGACGAGAUGAAGCAAGAAUUUCAAAAAAUCCAGGCAACUCAAAAUAAAUUGAUCGAAGAUUUGAUGUCGGAAUUGAAGACUGUCAAAAAUGAGACUAAUGAUAUGAAAAGGAAUCUCAGGAGAAAUCGAUGAAUGAUCUUCUUAUCAGGAAUUCGGAUAAAAAUCUGGAAAUGAUGUUGAAAAUUCAGGAAGGUCAAAAUCAAAUGAUGAUGAAGAUUAUGCAAAGAUCAGCUGUGCAUGACGUCCCAAUUGAAACUGGAGAAUUGGCAAAGAAUGUCUCAUUUUUUUAUAUUUUUGUUUACUGGUCCGAUUCGCAUGGCACAUUAGCGUCUGGAAACUAUCGAAAUCUUUGGGUGCGCGGAUCGGACACAAUUCGACAAGUCAAACUGACCAUCAAUUCACUUGCAAACGUAGAUAUCAGCUCGUUCAGAAUGGUGCUUCGUG